UCCCUUCCAUUUUCCGCCAAAAAUCCCUAUAUAGAAGGCGUCGGGCAACCGACUAUGGCGAUAAACGGUCUACAGAAUAGGUGUUGCGGACCCGGGGGCGGUACCCGGCGCCUCCACCACAUAUAGAUUCAAACUGUUGGAUUCAAACAGUAAUUUAAAUUCUGGAAUCUAUAUUUGAUGGGGGCGAAACAGGAUCGACGUGCACAGUAAAAGUAUAUUUUUCGUUCGGCAUGAUUCCGCCGUUACCGGGUCAAUCACUACAAAUGCAAAUGACAAUCGUCAAGCAUUUGCGGUCGCAGCUUAACAGCUGAGUCCACGGGGUUCGAGGGGCACCUGGCAACAGAAGCCCCUCACU
Molecule: transfer-messenger RNA, 355 nt
Filed under: Alphaproteobacteria bacterium
Lineage: Bacteria; Pseudomonadati; Pseudomonadota; Alphaproteobacteria
Rfam family: Alphaproteobacteria transfer-messenger RNA
About the family: Bacterial tmRNA, also known as 10Sa RNA or SsrA, is named for its dual tRNA and mRNA-like properties. Its role is to liberate the mRNA from a stalled ribosome.
Source: RNAcentral